UGUGUGUGUGUGUGUCUCACGAUCACAAACUGAAAUGAAUAUUUCAGCUCUGUAUUUUAGAACCUAGUAGUAGGCAGGCCGUAGCAGGCAAACCAGAUGGUGGUGAUGUGCUAACUGCACGAGCGCGCACGUGCAUCCUACCCGUUUAUAAGCGAGCGUCUCGGACGGCCCGGCCUUUUCAACCAUCAUCAGGCCAAGAGGUUGGUAGCAGGGAAGUUGGAGUACAGAUUAAAAAGCUGUUGGAUGGAUGGAUGGAUGGAUGGAUGGAUUAUCCAGUUAUUGGUGAGUACUAACUUUUAAAGAUGAAUUAAGGUGAGUGUUUUUAGGUCAUUUUUAGUGUGUGGUUUGUAUAUGUAAAUUAUUUAGUUCACUACCGUACACGCAUUAUUGAUGUAGAUGAUGGUAUGGCAGUAUCCAGCUUGGCGUGUGUUUGGAGCCUCUGUAAGGGUACAGUAUGUCCCAAACCCUGUUCUGGAACGGGUAGCCGAUGAGAAGGCAAGUGCUGCUAUUGUGAGAAACGCCCAUUUCCUGUGUAUGCGGUAGUUACGUUCAGAGAUGUUUGCUUGGAUGUGAGCUCCUGGUGUUCGGGACGAAAUCCCGUUGUUUUGGAGAUAUUGCUCCUGCUGUUCGGAAUGAAUAUUGUUUUGUGUGUAUUUACGUCUGUGUGACGUGGUGAGGAGGCCAGUAUGCCUGGUUGUAUUGAUGUAUGUUCAUGUGUACUUGACAUGCAAGGCAUGUCUGUGUUUUGUUCUCUGUGCGCCCGAAUAUCAGUUCGUGCUAAUUCAUAGACCGUCACCAGUUUAAUGUUUCCCUGAAAGUUAGUUCAGUGCUCUUCUCAUGUGUUAUUCAGAAACGUUUUGAUGAAUUAAACAUUCAUGUCUUUUCUUGACUCGAGAGAACUUAUUACUCAAAUGGAAUACAUGACAUUCGUGGUUCAGUAGUCUGUAAAACAAAACCUAAUAUGGUUGGUUAGUAUUUACUUUCAUCACACAAAAAAUCCAAAACUUAGAAUUUCCAUUUGUAUACAUAUUUAUAAAUUAUGGGUCACGUAGGCGUAGCGGGUUCGUGUUCUUAAAUUGCCAUCUUCAGAAUUUGAUUUGCAGCUGCCAUAAUUACUUAUACAUAAUAUUUGCCUCGCACUUGCAGAUGCAGGCAUGGCACGUAUACCCGGCCAGGAAACAUGUUUCUAUAUUUCCAGGUAUCUCCAGAGCCGUCGCCAGUUCCAGUAAUCCAUAAACAUCCUGAAAAGUUUUGUAUGCAAUAAAAAAUUGGAAACUUUCACGUUUUGUUGUUUUUCCCCCCCACCAGUAAAGUUGACAGUGUUUAUUCACUUUAUGCAUACUAUUUUAAUAUUUACACUUUGUUUCUGUUAUCACAUUUAUUUAUGCAAAUUAGAAGUCUUUGUGUGUAUAUAUGACACUGCAUUUAUUCUGUAUAUAUAUAUAUAUAUAUAUAUAUAUAUAUAUAUUGUAUUCAUUUUGUUUUCUUGGAUGCUAAUUUUUUUUUUUUUUUUUUUUUAGAACUCGGCAUGAGUCUCACUUUUCAAUUUAUUUUGGUGUAUAAAACGUAAUCCUGAGGCAAGCAUCGGGGGUGGUAUGUUUCGUAAAUAGUUAUACUCUACCUGACCUCGAAUACAAAAUUGUAAAACCAAUUACUCAUCGAAGUGUUAAUUUUUUGUUUGUUUAGGUGACUGCCUCGCCAAAGGGGUAUAAUCAACUGUCAAUCCAGUUCCUACAGUCGCCUAUGCCAUCUAGUGUUGGAAAACACAUUUAUUUCCAUUGCCUAUGUAUAUUUCAUAAUAAACUAAUUUAUUUUGGAUUGUUUGUCUUUUUUCACUUAAUCUUGGUUAGCGAGACAAUACGAUCUGUUUUGAGGUGUUGCUGCUGGAAAAUAUGAACUAUUGUAUUCUUGGAACAAAUAUAACAUUCAUAUCACUUAAAAAGCAUUCAUAUUUCAACUUUUCAUCAAGAAAAAAACUGAAAACGUUUUAUAUUUUCAGGUGAAGAAAACUGCCACAUCAAAGAUAUGAUCAACUUUCAACAUCUCACCUGCCAAUCAAGCUCCUUUAAUCUGCAGCUGUGCCAUGUAGUGAUGGAAAAUUUAUUAAAUCCUUGUCUUUAUAUUUUAUGAUAUAUACUAAUUUAUUUCAGCCUUUUGUAUUAUUUCUCAUUUACUUACCUUGGCAAACGAGUGUACCUCGAGUAGGAAGCAGCACCCCUUACACCUGUUCUGUUCCAUUGGAAAAUAUUACAAAGGUAAAAUAGCAGUCAUACCACAAACCAUACAAGUAUUACUUGACAAAUAUUUUAUUGUUUCAGGUGAAGCAUUUCCACACCUCCAUAUUGGUUCUCACCCGUGCAACACCUGGGUCGCUAACGUUCCUGCUGCCCGAAGAUCAGAAGAUUAGAUCCAGAAGACCUAUUUAUUCCUUGUAUUGAUUUUGUAUAUUUGUGUGGUUCACAAGGGGUCCAGUUUGGGUGGACGGCGUCAUGCUUGAUUGAGUCAAGCAAGCUGCCUGACGGAGAAACGUGCUUGGUAACUGAUUGGUGUGGGCCGAUCAACCUUUUUGUUGUGUGCUGAAGUAGAUAGCUUACUUGGAAAUUUGUUUACCAUGUGAGGGCAAGUUAUCUAACAGAAAGGGGAAGGAAAAAUAAUUGGCAGAGGGAGAAAUAUGGUUUAACUGAACGAGGGCAGUUCAGCCCUGCGUUAUGUCCGGAGACAAAGUUAGGUCAUGUCGACGCUUCGAAGGAGGAAACUGUUGUUAUCCUGUGAACUGAGAUAAUAUAAGUUUGAACAAUGUGAAAUGGAAUUCAUUGGAAAUGUGGUGUCAAAUCUGAGGUGACUAUUAUCUAUAUUGCACAUUUGCCAUAUUGCUUUGCCUAAAUAGAUGUGUAUGAGUGCCUUGCCCAGUAACUGAGAAUUGUUAUAUACUUAUCUUUGUUUUAAUUAUUAAAUCUAGCUUUAAACUUCA
Long non-coding RNA from Haliotis rufescens (red abalone), 2971 nucleotides. RefSeq lists it as uncharacterized. The record is from RefSeq and is a predicted model, not a curated record. NCBI's taxonomy places the organism in Eukaryota, Metazoa, Mollusca, Gastropoda, Lepetellida, Haliotidae. The transcript has 2 exons.